GCCGGGGUGGCGGAACUGGAAGACGCCCGGGACUCAAAAUCCCGUGGGCCGCAAUGCCCGUGAGGGUUCGACUCCCUCCCCCGGCACCA
Molecule: transfer RNA, 89 nt
Filed under: Armatimonadota bacterium
Lineage: Bacteria; Bacillati; Armatimonadota
Description: Armatimonadetes bacterium (groundwater metagenome) tRNA-Leu
Rfam family: tRNA
About the family: Transfer RNA (tRNA) molecules are approximately 80 nucleotides in length. Their secondary structure includes four short double-helical elements and three loops (D, anti-codon, and T loops). Further hydrogen bonds mediate the characteristic L-shaped molecular structure. tRNAs have two regions of fundamental functional importance: the anti-codon, which is responsible for specific mRNA codon recognition, and the 3' end, to which the tRNAs corresponding amino acid is attached (by aminoacyl-tRNA synthetases). tRNAs cope with the degeneracy of the genetic code in two manners: having more than one tRNA (with a specific anti-codon) for a particular amino acid; and 'wobble' base-pairing, i.e. permitting non-standard base-pairing at the 3rd anti-codon position.
Source: RNAcentral